AGAGUUUGAUCAUGGCUCAGGACGAACGCUGGCGGCGUGCCUAACACCAUGCAAGUCGAACGGAGUGGCCCCGCAAGGGACUGACUUAGUGGCGAACGGGUGAGUAACGCGUGAGCAACCUGCCUUUCAGUGGGGGACAACAGUUGGAAACGACUGCUAAUACCGCAUAAUGCAUUUUGACCGCAUGAUCGAGAUACCAAAGAUUUAUUGCUGAAAGAUGGGCUCGCGUCUGAUUAGAUAGUUGGUGAGGUAACGGCCCACCAAGUCGACGAUCAGUAGCCGGACUGAGAGGUUGAACGGCCACAUUGGGACUGAGAUACGGCCCAGACUCCUACGGGAGGCAGCA
Molecule: ribosomal RNA, 346 nt
Filed under: uncultured bacterium
Lineage: Bacteria
Description: bacterial SSU rRNA
Rfam family: Bacterial small subunit ribosomal RNA
Source: RNAcentral